AAGCUCGUAGUUGAAUUUCGGCGAUCAAAUUGUCGGUCGUGCCUCGGUACGUACUGGCGUUAUUGGUUCCUCCCUUCUGAAGAACCGCGAUGUCAUUAAUUUGGUGUCGCGGGGAAUCAGGACUGUUACUUUGAAAAAAUUAGAGUGUUUAAAGCAGGCUCGCGCUUGAAUACAUUAGCAUGGAAUAAUGAAAUAGGACGUUUGAUUCUAUUUUGUUGGUUUCUAGGAUCGACGUAAUGAUUAAUAGGGAUAGUUGGGGGCAUUAGUAUUCAAUUGUCAGAGGUGAAAUUCUUGGAUUUAUUGAAGACUAACUACUGCGAAAGCAUUUGCCAAGGAUGUUUUCAUUAAUCAAGAACGAAAGUUAGGGGAUCGAAGACGAUCAGAUACCGUCGUAGUCUUAACCAUAAACUAUGCCGACUAGGGAUCGGAUGAUGUUAAUUUUUUAAUGACUCAUUCGGCGCCUUACGGGAAACCAAAGUGUUUGGGUUCCGGGGGGAGUAUGGUCGUAAGGCUGAAACUUAAAGGAAUUGACGGAAGGGCACCACCAGGGGUGGAGCCUGCGGCUUAAUUUGACUCAACACGGGGAAA
RNAcentral lists this ribosomal RNA (588 nucleotides) under uncultured Glomus. RNAcentral describes it as "SSU rRNA". It matches the Rfam family "Eukaryotic small subunit ribosomal RNA", at positions 624 to 1213 of the family's 1831-position model. Lineage: Eukaryota; Fungi; Glomeromycota; Glomeromycetes; Glomerales; Glomeraceae. The record is from RNAcentral.